RNAcentral lists this ribosomal RNA (513 nucleotides) under uncultured bacterium. RNAcentral describes it as "partial 16S ribosomal RNA". It matches the Rfam family "Bacterial small subunit ribosomal RNA", at positions 28 to 507 of the family's 1533-position model. The record is from RNAcentral.
GACGAGCGCUGGCGGCGUGCUUAACACAUGCAAGUCGAACGAAAAGAGGGAAAGAGCUUGCUCUUUCCGGAAUUGAGUGGCAAACGGGUGAGUAACACGUAAACAACCUGCCUUCAGGAUGGGGACAACAGACGGAAACGACUGCUAAUACCGAAUAAGUUCCAAGGGCCGCAUGGCCCAUGGAAGAAAAGGUGGCCUCUACCUGUAAGCUAUCGCCUGAAGAGGGGUUUGCGUCUGAUUAGCUGGUUGGAGGGGUAACGGCCCACCAAGGCGACGAUCAGUAGCCGGUCUGAGAGGAUGAACGGCCACACUGGAACUGAGACACGGUCCAGACUCCUACGGGAGGCAGCAGUGGGGAAUCUUCCGCAAUAGGCGAAAGCCUGACGGAGCAACGCCGCGUGAGUGAUGACGGCCUUCGGGUUGUAAAACUCUGUGAUCCGGGACGAAAAGGCAGAGUGCGAAGAACAAACUGCAUUGACGGUACCGGAAAAGCAAGCCACGGCUAACUACGUG